RNAcentral lists this ribosomal RNA (497 nucleotides) under uncultured bacterium. RNAcentral describes it as "partial 16S ribosomal RNA". It matches the Rfam family "Bacterial small subunit ribosomal RNA", at positions 28 to 507 of the family's 1533-position model. The record is from RNAcentral.
GAUGAACGCUGGCGGCGUGCCUAAUACAUGCAAGUCGAGCGAACGGACGAGAAGCUUGUUUCUCUGAUGUUAGCGGCGGACGGGUGAGUAACACGUGGAUAAUCUACCUAUAAGACGGGUAUAACUUCGGGAAACCGGAGCUAAUACCGGAUGAUAUUUUGAACCGCAUGGUUCAAAAGUGAAAGACGGUCUUGCUGUCACUAAUAGAUGGAUCCGCGCUGCUUUGGCUAGUUGGUAAGGUAACGGCUUACCAAGGCAACGAGGCAUAGCCGACUUGGGAGGGUGAUCGGCCACAUUGGAACUGGAACCCGGUCCAGACGCCUACGGGAGGCAGCAGUAGGGUACUUUACGCAAUGGGGGAAAGCCUGACGGAGCAACCCCGAGUGAGUGAUAAAGAUCUCGGGAUCGUAAAGCUCUGUUAUUAGGGAAGAACAUAUGUGUAAGUAAAUGUACACAUCUUGACGGUAACUAAUAAGAAAGCAACGGCUAACUACGUG